GGGAGGCAGCAGUAGGGCAUCUUUCGCCAAUGACGAAAGUCUGACCGAGCAACGCCGGCUGAAUGAAGAAGGUUUUCGGAUCGUAAAACUUCGUUGUUAGAGAAGAACAAGGAUGAGAGUAACUGUUCAUCCCUUGACGGUAUCUAACCAGAAAGCCACGGCUAACUACGUGCCAGCAGCCGCGGUAAUACGUAGGUGGCAAGCGUUGUCCGGAUUUAUUGGGCGUAAAGCGAGCGCAGGCGGUUUCUUAAGUCUGAUGUGAAAGCCCCCGGCUCAACCGGGGAGGGUCAUUGGAAACUGGGAGACUUGAGUGCAGAAGAGGAGAGUGGAAUUCCAUGUGUAGCGGUGAAAUGCGUAGAUAUAUGGAGGAACACCAGUGGCGAAGGCGGCUCUCUGGUCUGUAACUGACGCUGAGGCUCGAAAGCGUGGGGAUCAAACAGGAUUAGAUACCCUGGUAGUCCACGCCGUAAACGAUGAGUGCUAAGUGUUGGAGGGUUUCCGCCCUUCAGUGCUGCAGCUAACGCAUUAAGCACUCCGCCUGGGGAGUACGACCGCAAGGUUGAAACUCAAAGGAAUUGACGGGGGCCCGCACAAGCGGUGGAGCAUGUGGUUUAAUUCGAAGCAACGCGAAGAACCUUACCAGGUCUUGACAUCCUUUGACCACUCUAGAGAUAGAGCUUCCCCUUCGGGGGCAAAGUGACAGGUGGUGCAUGGUUGUCGUCAGCUCGUGUCGUGAGAUGUUGGGUUAAGUCCCGCAACGAGCGCAACCCUUAUUGUUAGUUGCCAUCAUUCAGUUGGGCACUCUAGCAAGACUGCCGGUGACAAACCGGAGGAAGGUGGGGAUGACGUCAAAUCAUCAUGCCCCUUAUGACCUGGGCUACACACGUGCUACAAUGGGAAGUACAACGAGUUGCGAAGUCGCGAGGCUAAGCUAAUCUCUUAAAGCUUCUCUCAGUUCGGAUUGCAGGCUGCAACUCGCCUGCAUGAAGCCGGAAUCGCUAGUAAUCGCGGAUCAGCACGCCGCGGUGAAUACGUUCCCGGGCCUUGUACACACCGCCCGUCACACCACGAGAGUUUGUAACACCCGAAGUCGGUGAGGUAACCUUUUGGAGCCAGCCGCCUAAGGUGGA
This 1130-nucleotide ribosomal RNA is filed under the name Enterococcus faecium. RNAcentral's name for it is "bacterial SSU rRNA". It matches the Rfam family "Bacterial small subunit ribosomal RNA", at positions 343 to 1466 of the family's 1533-position model. Lineage: Bacteria; Bacillati; Bacillota; Bacilli; Lactobacillales; Enterococcaceae. The record is from RNAcentral.